This 69-nucleotide transfer RNA is filed under the name Kaloula pulchra (Malaysian narrowmouth toad). RNAcentral describes it as "tRNA-Glu". It matches the Rfam family "tRNA". Rfam says of the family: Transfer RNA (tRNA) molecules are approximately 80 nucleotides in length. Their secondary structure includes four short double-helical elements and three loops (D, anti-codon, and T loops). Lineage: Eukaryota; Metazoa; Chordata; Amphibia; Anura; Microhylidae. The record is from RNAcentral.
GUUCUUGUAGUUGAAUUACAGCGGCAGUUUUUCAUACUGUUGGUCCAGGUUAGAGUCCUGGCAGGAAUA